AGGUUAAGUGAAUAAGGGCGCACGGUGGAUGCCUUGGCACUAGGAGCCGAUGAAGGACGGGACUAACACCGAUAUGCUUUGGGGAGCUGUAAGUAAGCUAUGAUCCAGAGAUUUCCGAAUGGGGGAACCCAAUAUCUUUUAUAGGAUAUUACUUUUCAGUGAAUACAUAGCUGAUUAGAGGUAGACGCAGAGAACUGAAACAUCUUAGUACCUGCAGGAAGAGAAAGAAAAUUCGAUUCCCUGAGUAGCGGCGAGCGAAACGGGAAGAGCCCAAACCAACAAGCUUGCUUGUUGGGGUUGUAGGACUCCAAUAUGGUAGUCUGUUAGUAUAGUUGAAGGAUUUGGAAAAUUCCGCUAAAGAGGGUGAAAGCCCCGUAGACGAAAUGCUAACAACACCUAGGAGGAUCCUGAGUACGGCGGAACACGAGAAAUUCCGUCGGAAUCCGCGGGGACCAUCCCGCAAGGCUAAAUACUCCCUAGUGACCGAUAGUGAACCAGUACCGUGAGGGAAAGGUGAAAAGCACCCCGGAAGGGGAGUGAAAUAGAUCCUGAAACCGUGUGCCUACAACAAGUCAAAGCUCGUUAAUGAGUGAUGGCGUGCCUUUUGUAGAAUGAACCGGCGAGUUACGAUUGCAUGCGAGGUUAAGUCGAAGAGACGGAGCCGCAGCGAAAGCGAGUCUGAAUAGGGCGAAUGAGUAUGUAGUCGUAGACCCGAAACCAUGUGAUCUACCCAUGUCCAGGUUGAAGGUGCGGUAAAACGCACUGGAGGACCGAACCCACGUACGUUGAAAAGUGCGGGGAUGAGGUGUGGGUAGCGGAGAAAUUCCAAACGAACUUGGAGAUAGCUGGUUCUCUCCGAAAUAGCUUUAGGGCUAGCCUCGGAAUUGAGAAUGAUGGAGGUAGAGCACUGUUUGGACUAGGGGCCCAUCUCGGGUUACCGAAUUCAGAUAAACUCCGAAUGCCAUUCAUUUAUAUCCGGGAGUCAGACUGCGAGUGAUAAGAUCCGUAGUCGAAAGGGAAACAGCCCAGACCACCAGCUAAGGUCCCAAAAUAUAUGUUAAGUGGAAAAGGAUGUGGGGUUGCACAGACAACUAGGAUGUUGGCUUAGAAGCAGCCACCAUUUAAAGAGUGCGUAAUAGCUCACUAGUCGAGUGACCCUGCGCCGAAAAUGUACCGGGCUAAACAUAUUACCGAAGCUGUGGACUACACCAUUAGGUGUAGUGGUAGGAGAGCGUUCUAAGGGCGUUGAAGGUCGAUCGUGAGGACGGCUGGAGCGCUUAGAAGUGAGAAUGCCGGUAUGAGUAGCGAAAGACAGGUGAGAAUCCUGUCCACCGUAUGACUAAGGUUUCCUGGGGAAGGCUCGUCCGCCCAGGGUUAGUCGGGACCUAAGCCGAGGCCGAUAGGCGUAGGCGAUGGACAACAGGUUGAUAUUCCUGUACCAGUUGUUUUUGUUUGAGCAAUGGAGGGACGCAGUAGGCUAAGGAAUGCAUGCGAUUGGAAGUGCAUGUCCAAGCAAUGAGUCUUGAGUAGAGUUAAAUGCUUUACUCUCUAAGGACAAGUUGUGACGGGGAGCGAAAUAAUAGUAGCGAAGUUCCUGAUGUCACACUGCCAAGAAAAGCUUCUAGUGAGAAAACAACUGCCCGUACCGUAAACCGACACAGGUAGUCGAGGAGAGUAUCCUAAGGUGAGCGAGCGAACUCUCGUUAAGGAACUCGGCAAAAUGACCCCGUAACUUCGGGAGAAGGGGUGCUGACUUCGGUCAGCCGCAGUGAAUAGGCCCAAGCGACUGUUUAUCAAAAACACAGGUCUCUGCAAAAUCGUAAGAUGAAGUAUAGGGGCUGACGCCUGCCCGGUGCUGGAAGGUUAAGAGGAUGGGUUAGCUUCGGCGAAGCUCAGAAUUGAAGCCCCAGUAAACGGCGGCCGUAACUAUAACGGUCCUAAGGUAGCGAAAUUCCUUGUCGGGUAAGUUCCGACCCGCACGAAAGGCGUAACGAUUUGGGCACUGUCUCAACGAGAGACUCGGUGAAAUUUUAGUACCUGUGAAGAUGCAGGUUACCCGCGACAGGACGGAAAGACCCCAUGGAGCUUUACUGUAGUUUGAUAUUGAGUGUUUGUACCACAUGUACAGGAUAGGUAGGAGCCGAUGAGACCGGAACGCUAGUUUCGGAGGAGGCGCUGGUGGGAUACUACCCUUGUGUUAUGAACCCUCUAACCCGCACCACUAAUCGUGGUGGGAGACAGUGUCAGAUGGGCAGUUUGACUGGGGCGGUCGCCUCCUAAAAGGUAACGGAGGCGCCCAAAGGUUCCCUCAGAAUGGUUGGAAAUCAUUCGAAGAGUGUAAAGGCAGAAGGGAGCUUGACUGCGAGACCUACAAGUCGAGCAGGGACGAAAGUCGGGCUUAGUGAUCCGGUGGUUCCGCAUGGAAGGGCCAUCGCUCAACGGAUAAAAGCUACCCUGGGGAUAACAGGCUUAUCUCCCCCAAGAGUCCACAUCGACGGGGAGGUUUGGCACCUCGAUGUCGGCUCGUCGCAUCCUGGGGCUGUAGUCGGUCCCAAGGGUUGGGCUGUUCGCCCAUUAAAGCGGCACGCGAGCUGGGUUCAGAACGUCGUGAGACAGUUCGGUCCCUAUCCGUCGCGGGCGUUGGAAAUUUGAGAGGAGCUGUCCUUAGUACGAGAGGACCGGGAUGGACUUACCGCUGGUGUACCAGUUGUUCUGCCAAGGGCAUUGCUGGGUAGCUAUGUAGGGAAGGGAUAAACGCUGAAAGCAUCUAAGUGUGAAGCCCACCUCAAGAUGAGAUUUCCCAUUUCUUUAAGAAAGUAAGACCCCUGAGAGAUGAUCAGGUAGAUAGGUUGGAAGUGGAAGGCUAGUGAUAGUUGGAGCGGACCAAUACUAAUCGGUCGAGGACUUAACCAAA
This 2914-nucleotide ribosomal RNA is filed under the name Enterococcus faecalis. Its description in RNAcentral is "bacterial LSU rRNA". It matches the Rfam family "Bacterial large subunit ribosomal RNA". The record is from RNAcentral. Lineage: Bacteria; Bacillati; Bacillota; Bacilli; Lactobacillales; Enterococcaceae.